RNAcentral lists this ribosomal RNA (116 nucleotides) under Verrucomicrobiota bacterium. RNAcentral also lists the same sequence under 1 other name. Lineage: Bacteria; Pseudomonadati; Verrucomicrobiota. The record is from RNAcentral.
CCUGGUGGCCAUAAAGCGGUGGAACCACCCGUUCCCAUUCCGAACACGGCCGUGAAACGCCGCAUUGCCGAUGGUAGUGGUUGUCUAGCUUCCGCGAGAGUAGGUUGCUGCCAGGG